This 495-nucleotide ribosomal RNA is filed under the name Turbopsebius diligens. RNAcentral's name for it is "partial 16S ribosomal RNA". The record is from RNAcentral. Lineage: Eukaryota; Metazoa; Arthropoda; Insecta; Diptera; Acroceridae.
UAACAAAAACAUGUCUUGAUGGUUUUAAAUAUUAAGUCUGGCCUGCCCUAUGAUUUAAAUUUAAUGGCCGCAGUAAUUUAACUGUGCAAAGGUAGCAUAAUCAUUAGUUUUUUAAUUGAGGACUAGAAUGAAAGGUUUAACGAAAUAUAAACUUUAUUAUAUUAAAAAUUAUAAUUUUAUUUUUCAGUGAAAAAGCUGAAAUUUAAAUAUUAGACGAGAAGACCCUAUAGAUUUUUAUAUAAUUUAUAAUAUAUAUAAUAAGUAUUAAAUAUAUUUAUUAUAUUUAAUUAUUUUGUUGGGGUGACAGUAAAAUUAAAUUAAUUUUUAUAGUAUUAUAACAUUAAUUUAUGAGUGGUUGAUCCAUUAUUAUGAUUAUUAGAUUAAAUUACCUUAGGGAUAACAGCAUAAUUUCUUUGGAAAGUUCUUAUUAAUAAAGGAGAUUAUGACCUCGAUGUUGGAUUAAGAUUAAUUUUGGGUGCAGAAGGUUAAAAAAUA